Molecule: ribosomal RNA, 294 nt
Filed under: Triticum aestivum (bread wheat)
Lineage: Eukaryota; Viridiplantae; Streptophyta; Magnoliopsida; Poales; Poaceae
Description: partial small subunit ribosomal RNA
Source: RNAcentral
CUCAAUGUGCUUCAAAGGUCCCCUUUAUUUGCAAGACUAGCUUCAGGUGAUGCUCCAACUUGCAAUUACAAGGUUAUGGACAAUGAGUACACAAUGAGAUACUAUCUCACCAGUGGCAUUUAUCCUGAGUGGGCAACACUUAUGAAUUUCAUUAAAGAGAAGGGAGGGGUGCCCUUAUCCCAAAAAGAAGCUAAUUUCACGAGGGCACAAGAAUCAGCCCGCAAAGACAUUGAGAGAGCUUUCGGUGUUUUGCAAGCAAGAUUUGCCAUUGUUCGGGGUCCAGCUCAUUUUUGA